GAAAAAAAAAAAAAUCCUCUAUUAGUCUGAUGGAAGAUAUAAUAUUGUUUUUUAAUGUCAUUGGUAAACUGAACCACACAAUAUCAGUAUGAUAUUAUAACCAAAAAAAGGUCAUCUUAUAAUAUACAAAUAAUGAGCCAGAUAAUAACAUGACAUCAGUACUAUGACCUCAACCCUUAAAUUUGGUCUUAACCUUCUCGCUUACACAUAAGAAUGGUUUAACUGUAGUAGAUUUUUUUGUCAGUACAACUAUGAUCAAUAAACAACAUCAAUCUUAUAUAAGGCAUUCAUAUAAAGCAAAAUUCAAGAAAAUAAAGCAAAGAAGAAUAUUUGGAAAAUUUUAAUGAGAUUGAUUAAUGUACAUGCAUGCCAUCAUGUUUCCCCAAUGGUUCAUCAUAUUGAACUCCAACCCAAAAACCUGAUGCAAGAGAUUCUGCUCUGCCAACAAAUUUGAGAAGCCCUCUUUUCUCUUCUGGUUCAACCUCACAUCUGUCUCCCACCUUCAUAUUUGCACACAAGUCUUCCAUGUGGUUGUCAGUCAUCUUAGCCUCAAAGGCAGAUGGAUUUUUGAGAGACCAAUUUCUCUUUAAAUUUUCUGAAAGUGCCUGAAAACACAAACACUGCGUUUAUCAUAGGCCUGUUCUGAAAUUGUAUAUUUCUCCACCAAUGAAGUGUCUUCAAGCCACCCACCCGAGGUUACUGAUGAAGGGUCAAGAUCUGAAGGGAGAAGCGAAAACUGGGGAAGAAAGUCUUCAUGUUGGAGUGAGUGACACGCAAGAGGACUGAGUCAUCCCCCUCUAUCUGAAGCCGAGUUGCCUUCUUUCCUUAGAGCUGUCGCCGCCGUCGGAGCUUCAAUUAGCAGGCUGGCCUCCAGAGCUUCAGCAUCAGUGAGACGCGCUAUUAGCACAAGAUAAAGGGUAUGUGAGUGAGCAGACAAAGGAAUUUGAAUUUGAG
RNAcentral lists this unclassified non-coding RNA (954 nucleotides) under Hevea brasiliensis (rubber tree). The record is from RNAcentral. Lineage: Eukaryota; Viridiplantae; Streptophyta; Magnoliopsida; Malpighiales; Euphorbiaceae.